Molecule: ribosomal RNA, 492 nt
Filed under: uncultured bacterium
Lineage: Bacteria
Description: partial 16S ribosomal RNA
Rfam family: Bacterial small subunit ribosomal RNA
Source: RNAcentral
AGUGAACGCUGGCGGUAGGCCUAACACAUGCAAGUCGAACGGCAGCACAGUAAGAGCUUGCUCUUACGGGUGGCGAGUGGCGGACGGGUGAGGAAUACAUCGGAAUCUACUUUUUCGUGGGGGAUAACGUAGGGAAACUUACGCUAAUACCGCAUACGACCUACGGGUGAAAGCAGGGGAUCUUCGGACCUUUCGCGAUUGAUUGAGCCGAUGUCGGAUUAGCUAGUUGGCGGGGUAAAGGCCCACCAAGGCGACGCUCCGUAGCUGGUCUGAGAGGAUGAUCAGCCACACUGGAACUGAGACACGGUCCAGACUCCUACGGGAGGCAGAAGUGGGGAAUAUUGGACAAUGGGCGAAAGCCUGAUCCAGCCAUACCGCGUGGGUGAAGAAGGCCUUCGGGUUGUAAAGCCCUUUUGUUGGGAAAGAAAAGCAGCAGGUUAAUACCCCGCUGUUCUGACGGUACCCAAAGAAUAAGCACCGGCUAACUUCGUG